UUUGUAAAUGUAAACUAGGUACCUUUAUGUACAAUUUUUAAGCUUACACGAACCCAUUUAUAAGUCGCGACACACCAUUUGACGAUCAAUGGCUUAUAGGAUAUAAGAUUAUGAAUUGAAUUAAUUGUAAGUGGUCCUUAAGUAGGUACCUGUGUUAUUUAGCUAAUUUAAUAAUAUCUAUUUUACUUCAUAGAGGUACCUACCUAAACAAAAAUAUUUUGAUAGCGUUUUAACCGAUUAAAUCAAUUUUGUAAAUGUAAACUAGGUACCUUUAUGUACAAUUUUUAAGCUUACACGAACCCAUUUAUAAGUCGCGACACACCAUUUGACGAUCAAUGGCUUAUAGGAUAUAAGAUUAUGAAUUGAAUUAAUUGUAAGUGGUCCUUAAGUAGGUACCUGUGUUAUUUAGCUAAUUUAAUAAUAUCUAUUUUACUUCAUAGAGGUACCUACCUAAACAAAAAUAUUUUGAUAGCGUUUAAACCGAUUAAAUCAAUUUUGUAAAUGUAGGCUAUAGGUACCUUUAUGUACAAUUUUUAAGCUUACACGAACCCAUUUAUAAGUCGCGACACACCAUUUGACGAUCAAUGGCUUAUAGGAUAUAAGAUUAUGAAUUGAAUUAAUUGUAAGUGGUCCUCCAGUAGGUCCCCGUGUUAUUUAGCUAAUUUAAUAAUAUCUAUUUUACUUCAUAGAGGUACCUACCUAAACAAAAAUAUUUUGAUAGCGUUUUAACCGAUUAAAUCAAUUUUGUAAAUGUAAACUAGGUACCUUUAUGUACAAUUUUUAAGCUUACACGAACCCAU
Molecule: non-coding RNA, 800 nt
Organism: Cinara cedri
Lineage: Eukaryota; Metazoa; Arthropoda; Insecta; Hemiptera; Aphididae
Source: the annotation of a GenBank genome assembly